UUGAAGUAGAUCAUUUUUCUCUAAGUUAGAUCUUCCCGUGAAUCUGAACCAAGUCUAAAUUUUAAUCAACUCUUUGAUCUUCUUUUUCUCUUCUUUUUUUUGAUCUCCUUCUCUUGAUCUUGAAGCAAUCAAGAUCUGAAAUCAGAUUGAAAAGAGAGGGACACCCAAUAGCCUUGGGGUGUGAAGAUGGUGGACGUCCAAGAACUCUUGGAUGUUGGACGUCCAAGAACUCUUGGAUGUUGGAACUAGAGGGAGGAAGAGAGAGGGCGUGGAGACCUUUGGGAGGCUAGGAGCAAUCUAAAAAUUCUGAUGUUUAAGGUCUAGGAAAAGGCCUCUUAAAUAGAGAUGUACUUAGAGUCCUAACCAAGAACAAAUCAGCCCUUAAGGAUGAGUCCUAAUCACAUAGGAUGACUCCUUAUAAUCAGCCUUUGACCACACCUAAAUGAAUCAAGGGGAGCACCAACACUUGGCGCCCUCUAGAGCUCUCUAUCACAUGCC
Molecule: long non-coding RNA, 498 nt
Filed under: Elaeis guineensis (African oil palm)
Lineage: Eukaryota; Viridiplantae; Streptophyta; Magnoliopsida; Arecales; Arecaceae
Description: long non-coding RNA (EGUI_LNC057026)
Source: RNAcentral